Molecule: ribosomal RNA, 531 nt
Filed under: uncultured Lysobacter sp.
Lineage: Bacteria; Pseudomonadati; Pseudomonadota; Gammaproteobacteria; Lysobacterales; Lysobacteraceae
Description: bacterial SSU rRNA
Rfam family: Bacterial small subunit ribosomal RNA
Source: RNAcentral
UGUUGGGGAAGAAGGCCUUCUGGGUUGUAAAGCACUUUUGUCCGGAAAGAAAAGCUUAGGGUUAAUAACCUUGAGUCAUGACGGUACCGGAAGAAUAAGCACCGGCUAACUUCGUGCCAGCAGCCGCGGUAAUACGAAGGGKGCAAGCGUUACUCGGAAUUACUGGGCGUAAAGCGUGCGUAGGUGGUUUGUUAAGUCUGAUGUGAAAGCCCUGGGCUCAACCUGGGAAUGGCAUUGGAAACUGGCUUACUAGAGUGCGGUAGAGGGGUGUGGAAUUCCCGGUGUAGCAGUGAAAUGCGUAGAUAUCGGGAGGAACAUCUGUGGCGAAGGCGACACCCUGGACCAGCACUGACACUGAGGCACGAAAGCGUGGGGAGCAAACAGGAUUAGAUACCCUGGUAGUCCACGCCCUAAACGAUGCGAACUGGAUGUUGGGAGCAACUUGGCUCUCAGUAUCGAAGCUAACGCGUUAAGUUCGCCGCCUGGGAAGUACGGUCGCAAGACUGAAACUCAAAGGAAAUUGACGGAAAC